AUGUCAAAUCAAUUCCCAAAUAGCCUAACAAAAAUAUUUACAAAGAAAAUAUUCGCAAAGAACUUGUCUUUGCGGGAGUCAUUUACAAGUUAUUUACAUAUUCACAGGUCUUUUACUGUACUUGUGAUAAAUCUGUACAAACCCAAAUACGUAGAUGGAUUUCGUAAUAAAUCCUGAAGAAGACGCGGGACUGAUUCAGGAUUUUCAUACAAACUAAUCAAUUCAUCCAUUAGCAGAAGGCGCUGAAUGCCAAAGGAUGAGCAAUUAAAGAUGAUAUGAGACAAAGUUUGUUCUUCGUGUGAGUCACAAAAAUCACAGUGGGCAUGGUCUGCCAUCCUCAUACGAUAAAGGUGUGAAUUAAGUCUAGAAUGACCAAAGCGAAGACGACUAAUAAUGGAAUAAAAUUUUCUGUCAACAAAAUGACGACUUCUGCAAAACCAUGGGAUUGUAUUAACUUCGACAUUAAGCUCGGCAAACCAUAAGCCUUUAUUUUCUAUCUGUAUGACCUGCUGAGAAUGCCUCUUCCACCUGUCACACAUUCUUUGCUUCAAAAUUAAGCCCACAUCUGAACAAGGAAAGAUUGUGUGUAAAAGUUACUCCCAAGAACUUAGCCUCACCUGCCAUAGGAAGAAUGGCAUGGUUGAAGCGAACAACUGGCCCAUUUCCAGACCUUUUUCCAAAAACUAUAACUUUGGAUUUUAAGGGAUUGACCUCCAAAUUAAGAUAAAAAGAUAUUGAUCCAAUCUACAAGCUUGCCAGGAAUGCCGAUGGAUAAUAAUUCACUGCUGAGAACGGAAAUAUUAACAUUAUUAAAAGCUCCAGAAAUGUCAAAGAAAACUGCUAAUAGAUAUUUGUUGCUUACUAAAGCUGCUUGAACAUCCAAAUGAAGCUGACAUAUACUUUCACGAGCGGAGCGCCCACGCCGGAAACCGAAUUGAUUAGAAGGGAGAUGAUAACUGCCUAGUGGAUCGUCAUGAAGGAACCAUUCACAAAAAGGAGCCAAACUAGGUGAGACCAAAGAUAAAUCAAGUGCAUUGGGACGCCAUGUCAGAGAACCAGUUGUUGUUGUUUGACCAUCAUUUAACAGAACCAGAUUAUUAUUAUCAAUUAUUUCCAGUACAUCUCUACCUUUAGGCUGAGUGUCAACGCAACCCCACGACAUGUGGUGUGCGUUAAAGUCGCCAGCAAAUAUCAUAGGGGCCGGAAUAGACUUGACAAGUGCAUCAAGUUUAUAUUUGUCAAAAGCAGGAAUGGAGUUGGUAGGACUAUAAAAACUAACAAUACUUAACUCUUUGUUAUUUAUCUGUAUUCUUACACAAAUGUUCUGUAUAGAAUUAUCAAAAUUUGUAAUUAUUUUAUGAUAAGAAAUGCUGUUAUGUAUUAAAAUUGCAACUCCAUUAUGUUUAUUACCACAAUCAUUUCUUUCCACUUGGUAUCCUCCGACACUAAACCUUAUGUCAGGUUUCAACCAGGUUUCGGAAAUGAUUGCAAUAUGUAUAUUAAAAUUAUAUAAAAAUUGAGUCAGCCCUAAUUUAUUAUUAGCUAUACUUUGUGCAUUCCACUGUACAAUAUUUAAACAAUCCAUUAUGUAGCUAUUUAUUGUUUGGUCUUUUUAGAAAAAGUUUGUAACAAAGUUUCACGUAUUGACCCAGAAUUUAUGGGAGUAUCUUUACUUUUAUUUGUCAAUAUUUUAGUUAUAGUCUCAACAAUGAGAUUUAAAAAUACAUCCGAUUUAGAUAAGUUUAAAAUCUGAGAAUCUAUUGAUUUGGCAGUCAAGUGUGGAAAUUGCUUUUCACUGAAUAAAUCAGAGUACCUAACUGA
This 1821-nucleotide long non-coding RNA is filed under the name Pectinophora gossypiella (pink bollworm). RNAcentral describes it as "uncharacterized LOC126380862". The record is from RNAcentral. Lineage: Eukaryota; Metazoa; Arthropoda; Insecta; Lepidoptera; Gelechiidae.